This 440-nucleotide ribosomal RNA is filed under the name uncultured bacterium. RNAcentral's name for it is "partial 16S ribosomal RNA". It matches the Rfam family "Bacterial small subunit ribosomal RNA", at positions 338 to 795 of the family's 1533-position model. The record is from RNAcentral.
CCUACGGGCGACAGCAGUGGGGGAUAUUGCACAAUGGGGGGAACCCUGAUGCAGCGACGCCGCGUGGGUGAAGAAGCGCCUCGGCGCGUAAAGCCCUGUCAGCAGGGAAGAAAAUGACGUUACCUGAAGAAGAAGCCCCGGCUAACUACUUGCCAGCAGCCGCGGUAAUACGUAGGGGGCAAGCGUUAUCCGGAUUUACUGGGUGGAAAGGUGGCGCAGACGGCGAUGCAAGCCAGGCGUGAAAGCCCUGGGCCCAACCCCGGGACGGAUCUUGGAACUGCGUGGCUGGAGUGCAGGAGAGGAAGGUGGAAUUCCUGGGGUAGCGGUGAAAUGCGUAGAGAUCAGGAGGAACACCGGUGGCGAAGGCGGCCUGCUGGAAUGCAACUGACGUUGAGGCCCGAAAGCGUGGGGAGCAAACAGGAUUAGAUACCCGUGUAGUC